Molecule: long non-coding RNA, 951 nt
Filed under: Nicotiana tabacum (common tobacco)
Lineage: Eukaryota; Viridiplantae; Streptophyta; Magnoliopsida; Solanales; Solanaceae
Description: long non-coding RNA (NTAB_LNC001002)
Source: RNAcentral
UUGAAUUAUAUUAAAACGUAACAAGAAUUCAUCCUCCAAGAGGUUCCAUCAAAACUCUAGAUAAUAAACUAGCUACUCAUAAUACUAUGUAAAGCUACAAUACUAAAAUUCAUAACCAACAAUGAAAAAUAGGAAGAAGAAGAAGAAGAAGAAGAAGAAGAAGAAGAAGAAGAAGAAGAAGAAGGGAAAAAACUCGUGGUUGAAUCUUCCUCCUUGCUCCUAGUGUGUUUUCGCUUCCUUAGGUGUUGUAUAACCCUAAAGUAGUGUCUCCUCCUUCAAAAGGACGUUUUAUGAUGUAUUUAUAUCAAUUAGGGUUGAUAUGGGGCGUCUUUAAUCUCUCCUAAUUUGAAAAGGACACGCUGAGUCGCGUGCUAGAGUUGGUGCAAAGCGCGACUUCUAGCACGCUCCCAGCUAUUUUUUUCUUCUUCUUUGUUCUUUCACGUGCCAGGUGCAGCGCCAACCUCCAUACUUCGCUGUUUUUUGUUCAUCUCCUAGGCCAUUUCCCGUCUACCUUCAUGCAAUGUACCAAUUGUGGCACGCUCCCAGGUCUUGCAUCUCUACUCUUUUUGCAUCAAAUCAUCCAAUACUUGCUAGCUUCCAUCCAAAUUCAUUCCUACACACAAUAAACAUGAAAUGAGCAUAUUAUAUGUUUAUAAACAUGUAAUCUCCCGCAAUUCACAUAAGAUAUAAUAUGCAAACAUACUCAAAGACAUACAUUUUUUAUCAUUUAUCACGAAUAUGAGAAUAUGAUUCGUGCACCGAGUUACCCUUUACGUCCCUCGUGACAAAGGGAAUAUAGCUGACUUCCUGGUUGAGCAUUCCAUACUCCACUGAUUAUGAGAAAAAAAAAAAAAAAAAUCCUUUAGUUGAUUUUUUGUUCCCUUAAGGGAACUAAAAUGAUCUAGUCAUUGAGAGAAUUCGAUCAGACCCAAUUUUUUUGUUUGAAUCAUG